This 555-nucleotide ribosomal RNA is filed under the name Triticum aestivum (bread wheat). RNAcentral's name for it is "partial small subunit ribosomal RNA". Lineage: Eukaryota; Viridiplantae; Streptophyta; Magnoliopsida; Poales; Poaceae. The record is from RNAcentral.
AUGUGCAGUAGAAUAUGCAUUCAUAUUAGAUCUCUCGCCUCUGCCUGGAAGACUGGCGCCGCCGCCGACGCUGCGUCUGAGCUACCUAUUCCGCUGCAUAUGUCAAUGGGCCCACCGCUGGCCGAUUGGCGGUGGCGUUGGGCGCGUUUCUGGUCUAUGCAUCGUACGUGCACUGCACGGUGGCCUGGCCACCUUCUCCACUGCACACUGAUUAUUUGGCACAAGGACGAAGCAUUUCGGAGAUCUGCUAUGGGCUGGAAGUCAUUUCUGAAAUACUUGUUAUUUGACAUGGGGAUGCAGCAUUUCCAAGAUCCGCCAAGGGCCAGAAGUUACUCUCACAAUGCUUAUUAUUUGGCACGAGGACAGCAUUUGAGAGAUCUGCCGAGGGCUGGAAGUCAUUUCUGUAAUACUUAUCACCAACCUUAUUCUAGGCGGUCAAAACUAAAAAAAAGAAGGCUAAGAAAUCCUGAUAAAAGCUUACAGGAAACUGUAAGAACAACAAGCGAACUGGAGUUCACAUAUGAGAUGCUGCUAAUCAAACAGACCAUCAACUGA